Molecule: transfer RNA, 60 nt
Filed under: Dacrydium elatum
Lineage: Eukaryota; Viridiplantae; Streptophyta; Pinopsida; Araucariales; Podocarpaceae
Description: tRNA-fMet
Rfam family: tRNA
About the family: Transfer RNA (tRNA) molecules are approximately 80 nucleotides in length. Their secondary structure includes four short double-helical elements and three loops (D, anti-codon, and T loops).
Source: RNAcentral
GUUUGGUAGCUCGCAAGGCUCAUAACCUUGAAGUCACGGGUUCAAAUCCCGUCUCCGCUA